GAUAGCUCUUUACAAAUUUGACUCACUUAGCUGUCAUUACAUCUUGAAUGUUUUGAUUCAAUUUUUCAAUUUAGGAUUUGGAAGAAUCAGUUCCGUUGUUGCGGAAGCAGCAUGCCAGAGAAACGACUUCUAGAUUUCAAAUAUCAAUGAGCGUGACUAUCUGGACUUGGUUCUUCCUGCUUAGAGUCUUCCAGAGCAUUUGCAGUUAUAGGUGCUGGAGUCUCUGUGCUCCUUAGCUUUGCAGCCAAUGCUUAUUCUGACAAGGCCAGAGAAGGCUUAGAGUUUUAUAGUCAUCCGUGGCCUCAGUAAGGCAUUCUCAGUUCGGCCAUGCUCCGUGUGGUAUACUAUAUACCCUAACGAACUGAGGAAGAAACUAAGGGCAUGGCAGCUGAUAUUUGAGGUAAUCGACGAGCCUAAUGAUGAGGGUGAGAUGUAUCGUUUGCUCUGAAAACAGAGUGAUCGGCUUCCGCAGCCUUAUGCUAAUGAAGUGGCUGCCAGAUUUGAUAAUGGAGGAGCCUAUCCACCUGAUCUGGGUCUUAUCACUAAGGACCACACAAUGAGCCAGAGUGAUCGCUCUUCAUGUGAUAGUAUGUGCUCAAGAACCUGACCCUGGUGUGCUCAGAAACUGC
Long non-coding RNA from Nicotiana attenuata, 629 nucleotides. RefSeq lists it as uncharacterized. The transcript has 4 exons. The record is from RefSeq and is a predicted model, not a curated record. NCBI's taxonomy places the organism in Eukaryota, Viridiplantae, Streptophyta, Magnoliopsida, Solanales, Solanaceae.